CGAACUUAAACCGUAAACUCUCGUAUAUUUUCGGGAAUAAGGCCCGAAAGUUUCUACCUAAUGACCGAGAAUCAUUUGGCUACGAGAGAGAAAGGGUAUCUA
RNAcentral lists this non-coding RNA (102 nucleotides) under Natranaerobius thermophilus. RNAcentral describes it as "Guanine sequence". It matches the Rfam family "Purine riboswitch aptamer". Rfam says of the family: Riboswitches are metabolite binding domains within certain messenger RNAs that serve as precision sensors for their corresponding targets. Allosteric rearrangement of mRNA structure is mediated by ligand binding, and this results in modulation of gene expression. A class of riboswitches that selectively recognises guanine and becomes saturated at concentrations as low as 5 nM. Lineage: Bacteria; Bacillati; Bacillota; Clostridia; Natranaerobiales; Natranaerobiaceae. RNAcentral also lists the same sequence under 1 other name. The record is from RNAcentral.